GUACCUCCAGUUUGGGUCACUGUCUGUGACAUAAGAAAGGGAGGGGACCAUCCACCAGGAAGGCAAGAGACAACCAUGCUGAGUGGUUACAGUGCUGCCCUGGACUGGCGGCUAGCACCCACUGAAGCUAGUGCCAAUCAUUUCAGGGAAGGUUUGGAGGACCUUCCCAAUAGGAUGUGCUCACAGGGAAGGCGCUGGAGUAGGAGGCUGAGCUCUGUGCUUGUCCAUGCAGCUGGGAUACAGCUCUCUGGGCCUGCAAACCCAAAUGCCAUUUGCGGGCCCAAAACGACACAGGAGGCUGAAGUGAGCCCUGAUCUGCAAGAAUAUUUUUCAAAUACUGAUUUUAUGGUGAGUCUCUCCAGAGUAGAAUAUAAUGUUCAACUACGCAUUCCAUCUGCAAAGUUCUGGAUGCACCAUCUUGCAUUACAUAAAGUAAAAAAUAUGUUUUAAAGAAGGAACAGAAAGAAAGGAUAUGACACAUUAAAGCGGUGGAAGAAGAGCCUUUCAUUAUGCUUUGUGUAAAGCCAGAGGGUGUUAUGUAAACCAAACAGAAGUCAACUGUCUUAAAAAUGGGAUCAAUAAAUGUCUUAGGUUAUGUCA
Molecule: long non-coding RNA, 600 nt
Filed under: Numida meleagris (helmeted guineafowl)
Lineage: Eukaryota; Metazoa; Chordata; Aves; Galliformes; Numididae
Description: lncRNA (ENSNMEG00000020604.1)
Source: RNAcentral